CAAUUUGAUUACUGCUUUGCAAAAGAAUGAUAAAUACUUAGAAGCUGUUAAAUGGUCAUUGUGGAUGAAGCAGCUGGGGCUAUAAAGCGCACAGAUGUUAUGUACAUAUAUUUUACCUUUUUUGUAUUUGCGUCAGCAAUGCUGUCCCCAUAUUCAGAAGCAGCCUGGGUCAGAUGCUACUUGAGAUAGCUCAACAUUUUUGCCACCCUUGGUGAGAUUACAUCCAAUUCCACUAACUUAUCUCUCUCUCCUCACCAC
Molecule: unclassified non-coding RNA, 258 nt
Filed under: Hevea brasiliensis (rubber tree)
Lineage: Eukaryota; Viridiplantae; Streptophyta; Magnoliopsida; Malpighiales; Euphorbiaceae
Source: RNAcentral